GAUGAACGCUGGCGGCGUGCCUAACACAUGCAAGUCGAGCGGGAAAUCUUUGAACAAAACUUCGGUCUAGUGAUAAGAUGGAGAGCGGCGGACGGGUGAGUAACGCGUAGGCAACCUGCCUCAUACAGAGGGAUAGCCUCGGGAAACCGGGAUUAAAACCUCAUAACGCGAGAAUUUCACAUGAGAUUAUCGCCAAAGAUUUAUCGGUAUGAGAUGGGCCUGCGUCUGAUUAGUUAGUUGGUGGGGUAACGGCCUACCAAGGCAACGAUCAGUAGCCGACCUGAGAGGGUAAUCGGCCACAUUGGAACUGAGACACGGUCCAAACUCCUACGGGAGGCAGCAGUGGGGAAUAUUGCACAAUGGGCGAAAGCCUGAUGCAGCAACGCCGCGUGAACGAUGAAGGCCUUUGGGUCGUAAAGUUCUGUCCUUGGGGAAGAAAAAAAUGACGGUACCCAUGGAGGAAGCCCCGGCUAACUACGUG
Molecule: ribosomal RNA, 481 nt
Filed under: uncultured bacterium
Lineage: Bacteria
Description: bacterial SSU rRNA
Rfam family: Bacterial small subunit ribosomal RNA
Source: RNAcentral